RNAcentral lists this ribosomal RNA (496 nucleotides) under uncultured bacterium. RNAcentral describes it as "partial 16S ribosomal RNA". It matches the Rfam family "Bacterial small subunit ribosomal RNA", at positions 28 to 506 of the family's 1533-position model. The record is from RNAcentral.
GAUGAACGCUGGCGGCGUGCCUAAUACAUGCAAGUCGAGCGAACAGACGAGGAGCUUGCUCCUCUGACGUUAGCGGCGGACGGGUGAGUAACACGUGGAUAACCUACCUAUAAGACUGGGAUAACUUCGGGAAACCGGAGCUAAUACCGGAUAAUAUGUUGAAUCGCAUGGUUCAACAGUGAAAGACGGUCUUGCUGUCACUUAUAGAUGGAUCCGCGCCGCAUUAGCUAGUUGGUAAGGUAACGGCUUACCAAGGCAACGAUGCGUAGCCGACCUGAGAGGGUGAUCGGCCACACUGGAACUGAGACACGGUCCAGACUCCUACGGGAGGCAGCAGUAGGGAAUCUUCCGCAAUGGGCGAAAGCCUGACGGAGCAACGCCGCGUGAGUGAAGAAGGUCUUCGGAUGGUAAAACUCUGUUAUUAGGGAAGAACAAAUGUGUAAGUAACUAUGCACGUCUUGACGGUACCUAAGCAGAAAGCCACGGCUAACUACGU